RNAcentral lists this ribosomal RNA (695 nucleotides) under uncultured rumen bacterium. RNAcentral's name for it is "bacterial SSU rRNA". It matches the Rfam family "Bacterial small subunit ribosomal RNA", at positions 58 to 776 of the family's 1533-position model. The record is from RNAcentral.
CGAUUCCUUCGGGAUGACGAUUUGUUGACUGAGUGGCGGACGGGUGAGUAACGCGUGGGUAACCUGCCUUAUACAGGGGGAUAGCAGCUGGAAACGGCUGAUAAUACCGCAUAAGCGCACAGCAUCGCAUGAUGCAGUGUGAAAAACUCCGGUGGUAUAAGAUGGACCCGCGUCUGAUUAGCUAGUUGGUGAGGUAACGGCCCACCAAGGCAACGAUCAGUAGCCGACCUGAGAGGGUGACCGGCCACAUUGGGACUGAGACACGGCCCAGACUCCUACGGGAGGCAGCAGUGGGGAAUAUUGCACAAUGGAGGAAACUCUGAUGCAGCGACGCCGCGUGAGCGAAGAAGUAUUUCGGUAUGUAAAGCUCUAUCAGCAGGGAAGAUAAUGACGGUACCUGACUAAGAAGCUCCGGCUAAAUACGUGCCAGCAGCCGCGGUAAUACGUAUGGAGCAAGCGUUAUCCGGAUUUACUGGGUGUAAAGGGAGUGUAGGUGGCAAAGCAAGUCAGUAGUGAAAAUCCGGGGCUCAACCUCGGAACUGCUAUUGAAACUGUUUAGCUAGAGUGCAGGAGAGGUAAGUGGAAUUCCUAGUGUAGCGGUGAAAUGCGUAGAUAUUAGGAGGAACACCAGUGGCGAAGGCGGCUUACUGGACUGUAACUGACACUGAGGCUCGAAAGCGUGGGGAGCAAACAGG